Molecule: ribosomal RNA, 253 nt
Filed under: uncultured bacterium
Lineage: Bacteria
Description: partial 16S ribosomal RNA
Rfam family: Bacterial small subunit ribosomal RNA
Source: RNAcentral
UACGAAGGGUGCAAGCGUUACUCGGAAUCACUGGGCGUAAAGCGUGCGUAGGCGGCUUCUUAAGUCUGUCGUGAAAGCCCUGGGCUCAACCUGGGAAUGGCGAUGGAUACUGGGAGGCUAGAGUGUGAUAGAGGAUGGUGGAAUUCCCGGUGUAGCGGUGAAAUGCGUAGAGAUCGGGAGGAACACCAGUGGCGAAGGCGGCCAUCUGGAUCAACACUGACGCUGAGGCACGAAAGCGUGGGGAGCAAACAGG